RNAcentral lists this ribosomal RNA (680 nucleotides) under Serratia marcescens. Its description in RNAcentral is "partial 23S ribosomal RNA". It matches the Rfam family "Bacterial large subunit ribosomal RNA", at positions 380 to 1064 of the family's 2925-position model. The record is from RNAcentral. Lineage: Bacteria; Pseudomonadati; Pseudomonadota; Gammaproteobacteria; Enterobacterales; Yersiniaceae.
CUAAAAUGCACAGGUCGUGAGUUCGAUGAGUAGGGCGGGACACGUGACAUCCUGUCUGAAUAUGGGGGGACCAUCCUCCAAGGCUAAAUACUCCUGACUGACCGAUAGUGAACCAGUACCGUGAGGGAAAGGCGAAAAGAACCCCGGCGAGGGGAGUGAAAUAGAACCUGAAACCGUGUACGUACAAGCAGUGGGAGCACCUUCGUGGUGUGACUGCGUACCUUUUGUAUAAUGGGUCAGCGACUUAUAUUUUGUAGCAAGGUUAACCGUAUAGGGGAGCCGUAGGGAAACCGAGUCUUAACUGGGCGAUUAGUUGCAAGGUAUAGACCCGAAACCCGGUGAUCUAGCCAUGGGCAGGUUGAAGGUUGGGUAACACUAACUGGAGGACCGAACCGACUAAUGUUGAAAAAUUAGCGGAUGACUUGUGGCUGGGGGUGAAAGGCCAAUCAAACCGGGAGAUAGCUGGUUCUCCCCGAAAGCUAUUUAGGUAGCGCCUCGUGAACUCAUCUUCGGGGGUAGAGCACUGUUUCGGCUAGGGGGCCAUCCCGGCUUACCAAACCGAUGCAAACUCCGAAUACCGAAGAAUGUUAUCACGGGAGACACACGGCGGGUGCUAACGUCCGUCGUGAAGAGGGAAACAACCCAGACCGCCAGCUAAGGUCCCAAAGUCAUGGUUAAGU